GACGAACGCUGGCGGCGUGCUUAACACAUGCAAGUCGAACGCGGAAGCUCAGCUUGCUGGGUGGAUGAGUGGCGAACGGGUGAGUAACACGUGAGUAACCUGCCCUCUUCUUUGGGAUAACGCCCGGAAACGGGUGCUAAUACUGGAUAUUCACUGAUUCUCGCAUGGGGGUUGGUGGAAAGGUUUUUUCUGGUGGGGGAUGGGCUCGCGGCCUAUCAGCUUGUUGGUGGGGUGAUGGCCUACCAAGUCUUUGACGGGUAGCCGGCCUGAGGGGGUGACCGGUCGAAUUGGGACAGAGAUACGGACCAGACUGAAGCGAGAGGCAGCAGUGGGGGACAGUGCACAAUGGGCGAAAGCCAGAUGCAGCGACGACGCGUGAGGGAGGGAGGCCUUCGGGUUGUAAACCUCUUUCGAUCAGGGUAAAGCCGGAGCGUGGGGUUGUGGUGAGGGUAGUGGGUAAAGAAGCGCCGGCUAACUACGUG
This 482-nucleotide ribosomal RNA is filed under the name uncultured bacterium. RNAcentral's name for it is "partial 16S ribosomal RNA". It matches the Rfam family "Bacterial small subunit ribosomal RNA", at positions 28 to 507 of the family's 1533-position model. The record is from RNAcentral.